This 376-nucleotide long non-coding RNA is filed under the name Citrus sinensis (sweet orange). Its description in RNAcentral is "long non-coding RNA (CSIN_LNC002843)". Lineage: Eukaryota; Viridiplantae; Streptophyta; Magnoliopsida; Sapindales; Rutaceae. The record is from RNAcentral.
GGACUUGUUAUUUACUACAUGUACAACUGCUGUCUUCCUGGGAGAUUAUUUUAAAAAAAAAAAAAAUCAAGGAGAAUAAAAUAAACUUUGUGAUUGCUAUCUACUUGAGAUGGUAAAAUCUCUUGUGUUGAAAAUAAAAGGUUUGGUCAAGGAGAAUAAAAUAAACUUUGUGACUUCCUGGGAGAUUAUUUUAAAAAAAAAAAAAAUCAAGGAGAAUAAAAUAAACUUUGUGAUUGCUAUCUACUUGAGAUGGUAAAAUCUCUUGUGUUGAAAAUAAAAGGUUUGGGGUUUGAACCCCACUCACAUGGGUGAGAAGAGAAUUGGGUUCCCAUUGAGCUAAAUAAAAAACAAAUAAAAUGAACUAUAGAAUGACCAC